UACGGAGGGUGCAAGCGUUAAUCGGAAUUACUGGGCGUAAAGCGCACGCAGGUGGCUGAGUCAGUCGAUUGUGAAAGCCCUGGGCUCAACCUGGGAAUUGCAGUCGAUACUACUCAGCUAGAGUAUGGGAGAGGGCAGUGGAAUUCCCGGUGUAGCGGUGAAGUGCGUAGAUAUCGGGAGGAACAUCAGUGGCGAAGGCGGCUGCCUGGCCCAAUACUGACACUCAGGUGCGACAGCGUGGGGAGCAAACAGG
This 253-nucleotide ribosomal RNA is filed under the name uncultured bacterium. RNAcentral describes it as "partial 16S ribosomal RNA". It matches the Rfam family "Bacterial small subunit ribosomal RNA", at positions 524 to 776 of the family's 1533-position model. The record is from RNAcentral.